AAUUGGUGCGUUAUCUACAAGCUGCACCCAGUCAUCCAGUGAGUGAGAGGAGAGAGAAGGCUUUCAACGAACUAAUAUCAUGAAGAGAUAUGUGAAAAACACCUUGAGGAUUGAUUCUAAACAACGUUUACCAUGUUUCAGUCGAUAUUAUGGAGUUAAUUUGGAAAAAAGUUUGGCGUUUUGAAGACUGAAUUUUCGUUUUUUUUUGGUAGCCAAAAGUGACGCACCAAACGGAGCAAUUUCUCCUAAACAAAUAAUCUUUCAGGAAAAACUGAGCAUUUGCUAUCUAAGUGAGAGUCUCCUCAUUGAAAACAUCUGAAGUUCUUCAAAGUCUCUCGGAAUAGGGUUUGGUCUGGGGAGAGCAGUAUAUCCUAUGCCGCUGACUCAUUGGAAGUAGAAAUCUUCAUCCAAAUCGAGAUGCAGAGAGAGCAUGCUGUCGAUCUAUAUCACCGCUUGGUACGGCAACUGCACUGCCUGCAACCGCAGGGCUCUCCAGAGGGUGGUGCGGUCUGCCCAACACAUUACUGGGUGCAAACUACCUGCCCUCCAAGACAUCUACAGCACCCGAUGUCACAGGAAGGCCAAAAAGAUCAUCAAGGACAACAGCAACCCAUACCACUGCCUGUUCACCCCGUUAUCACC
Oncorhynchus tshawytscha (Chinook salmon) is the source of this 642-nucleotide long non-coding RNA. Lineage: Eukaryota; Metazoa; Chordata; Actinopteri; Salmoniformes; Salmonidae. The record is from Ensembl.